CCCAAGCACAUCCAGAUUCUCCAUUCACAUGCUUGAAUAAUCAACUUCCAGCGGCGAUUCGAAGGGGAAAACUUGGUGAUUGUUGACUGCGGUUGAUGGCGACGGCGAUUCGAAGAGAAAUCGUCGAAAUUCUAAUUUCACCGACGAUCGGUGCGUAGAACUGAAUUUUGAUGGCGAAUCGAAGAGAUUUGCUUGAAAAUUGUGAAGUACGUUCAGCGGCACUACGUUUCUUUGAUUACGCCUAAAUGGUGGAAUAGAGAUAAUUGAGACUGGAUCUGGAGAGUCAAGUCAAGUCGGAGAGGACCUGGUGGUUUAGUUUUAUGUUACGAGAUUUGCAUUUCAUGUCAUAUAGAGACAUAUAUGGGCACGAAGGUCAGCGAAUGGAAAUGCUACCUAACAAACAAGAAAUCAAAAUCCUUCCAGCUGCUUUGUGGCAAAUACCGUACAAUACAACAAUAUUGUACAACAACGGCAUUCAUGUAAUUGACUAUGUCAUGAGUAUUACAUCAAAGUACUUCGAGGAGGAGAAAGACUAAUAGAUGUUGAGAAGAUGGUCACGAACUACCACAAAUAGUAACCAAUUAUUGAACUUUUUCUCUUCUUCAAACAUAGAGUUUGGUUUCUUUAUUGGUUUUUUGUGUAGAUGAUUUGAUUGAUAUUUUGAUUUGGUAACUACUCUUACUUAAAACAAGUCGGUUUUAU
Molecule: non-coding RNA, 702 nt
Organism: Salvia hispanica
Lineage: Eukaryota; Viridiplantae; Streptophyta; Magnoliopsida; Lamiales; Lamiaceae
Source: RefSeq, a predicted model, not a curated record